This 622-nucleotide long non-coding RNA is filed under the name Ananas comosus (pineapple). RNAcentral describes it as "long non-coding RNA (ACOM_LNC024617)". The record is from RNAcentral. Lineage: Eukaryota; Viridiplantae; Streptophyta; Magnoliopsida; Poales; Bromeliaceae.
AGGCGGGUCAAAUCGGCAAAAACGAGCUAGCCUCUCAGUCAUUCGCUUUUGCUCUGUCUCUGACAUCUGCCCAACUAAUCGUGAUGCCUCUCCAGUAGGAGCAGCUGGUGCAGUGGGGGCUGUCACUAGUGGGGGUGCAUGUCACGCCCCGCGACCCGCCAAUUUGGUCAGAUCCGGGCACAUCGAUCAGACGCGGAACGGACAGCACCUCCCCUGUCCGCCCAAGGCUAGAACUACAAGAUCAUGUACAAGAAUUGCCCAGGAAAAUUCAUUCAACAUACAUGAUCAAUACGAAGCACCACAAGUGCUAUACAAUUAAGAGCAAGAAUCACAAGUAUCAUACAAGUGAAAUAAAGAGAGAUACAUCUAGCUAUUACAUCACAUUUAACCUUUACAUAUUGAUUUACAUUUUCAUCUUCCAAAAUGAAUGCAUAUUCUUCUCAUAAUACAAAAUGGCUCUCCAAAUACAUAAGUAACUCUCAAAUACAUCAUAUCUCUACGUACACGAGGGUACUCUAAUGCAUAAGAAAGCUACUAGCUACUAGGGCGCUAUACCCUUACCACGGUCUUUUGCCGGUACGCUCUUGCUAGGCCCUGCAACAAAGUGGGGUGAGAACUAAAU